This 497-nucleotide ribosomal RNA is filed under the name uncultured bacterium. Its description in RNAcentral is "partial 16S ribosomal RNA". It matches the Rfam family "Bacterial small subunit ribosomal RNA", at positions 28 to 507 of the family's 1533-position model. The record is from RNAcentral.
GAUGAACGCUGGCGGCGUGCCUAAUACAUGCAAGUCGAGCGAACAGAUGAGGAUCUUGCUCCUCUGACGUUAUCGGCGGACGGGUGAGUAACACGUGGAUAACCUACCUAUUAGACUGGGAUAACUUCGGGAAACCGGAGCUAAUACCGGAUAAUAUAUUGAACCGCAUGGUUCAGUAGUGAAAGACGGUUUUGCUGUCACUUAUAGAUGGUUCCGCGCCGCAUUAGCUAGUUGGUAGGGUAACGGCUUACGAAGGCAACGAUGAGUAGCCGACCUGAGAGGGUGAGCGGCCACACUGGAACUGAGACACGGUCCAGGCUCAUACGGGAGGCAGCAGUAGGGAAUCUUCCGCAAUGGGCGAAAGCCUGACGGAGCAACGCCGCGUGAGUGAUGAAGGUCUUCGGAUCGUAAAACUCUGUUAUUAGGGAAGAACAAAUGUGUAAGUAACUAUGCACGUCUUGACGGUACCUAAUCAGAAAGCCACGGCUAACUACGUG